Molecule: transfer RNA, 87 nt
Filed under: Novosphingobium aromaticivorans
Lineage: Bacteria; Pseudomonadati; Pseudomonadota; Alphaproteobacteria; Sphingomonadales; Sphingomonadaceae
Also listed under: 8 other names
Description: tRNA-Leu
Rfam family: tRNA
About the family: Transfer RNA (tRNA) molecules are approximately 80 nucleotides in length. Their secondary structure includes four short double-helical elements and three loops (D, anti-codon, and T loops).
Source: RNAcentral
GCCCAGGUGGCGGAAUUGGUAGACGCACCGUCUUCAGGUGGCGGCGCUCGUAAGGGCGUGGAGGUUCGAGUCCUCUCCUGGGCACCA